AGCUUUUUUCUUUACCCGAGCUGUAAGGUUAGGACUUUUGCAAUGUUGUUCUCGUCUAAUAUUGCACUUGUCCCGGCCUGCUGGCUAAGGUUAUGUACAAC
Saccoglossus kowalevskii is the source of this 101-nucleotide microRNA precursor. The record is from RefSeq. NCBI's taxonomy places the organism in Eukaryota, Metazoa, Hemichordata, Enteropneusta, Harrimaniidae.